GGACUACCCGGGUAUCUAAUCCCGUUCGCUCCCCUGGCUUUCGCGUCUCAGCGUCAGAAAGGGUCCAGGACCUCGCUUUCGCCACGGGCGUUCCUUCCGAUCUCAACGCAUUUCACCGCUCCACCGGAAGUUCCAGGUCCCCCUACCCCCCUCGAGGCCGCCCGUAUCGGCGCCCGUUCCCCGGUUGAGCCGGGGGAUUUCAGCGACCGACGCGGCGGCCCGCCUACACGCGCUUUAAGCCCAGUGAUUCCGAAUAACGUUCGCACGGUUCGUCUUACCGCGGCUGCUGGCAC
This 293-nucleotide ribosomal RNA is filed under the name uncultured Planctomycetota bacterium. RNAcentral's name for it is "uncultured planctomycete partial 16S ribosomal RNA". Lineage: Bacteria; Pseudomonadati; Planctomycetota. The record is from RNAcentral.